AGGCCCGUAGCUCAACUGGCAGAGCGCCGGACUCCAAAUCCGAAGGUUGGGGGUUCAACUCCUCCCGGGCCUGCCA
This 76-nucleotide transfer RNA is filed under the name Candidatus Acetothermia bacterium. Its description in RNAcentral is "tRNA-Trp". It matches the Rfam family "tRNA". From Rfam's summary of the family: Transfer RNA (tRNA) molecules are approximately 80 nucleotides in length. Their secondary structure includes four short double-helical elements and three loops (D, anti-codon, and T loops). RNAcentral also lists the same sequence under 1 other name. Lineage: Bacteria; Candidatus Bipolaricaulota. The record is from RNAcentral.